UACAGAGGUCUCAAGCGUUGUUCGGAUUCAUUGGGCGUAAAGGGUGCGUAGGUGGCGGGGCAAGUUUGGUGUGAAAUCCCGGGGCUCAACCUCGGAACUGCACUGAAUACUGCCUUGCUAGAGCACUGGAGAGGGAACUGGAAUUUACGGUGUAGCAGUGAAAUGCGUAGAUAUCGUAAGGAAGACCAGUGGCGAAGGCGGCGAUCUGGGUCGAUACUGACGCUGAGGUGCGAAAGCGUGGGGAGCAAACAGG
RNAcentral lists this ribosomal RNA (253 nucleotides) under uncultured bacterium. RNAcentral describes it as "partial 16S ribosomal RNA". It matches the Rfam family "Bacterial small subunit ribosomal RNA", at positions 524 to 776 of the family's 1533-position model. The record is from RNAcentral.